Molecule: unclassified non-coding RNA, 345 nt
Filed under: soil metagenome
Description: partial contains 5.8S ribosomal RNA, internal transcribed spacer 2, and large subunit ribosomal RNA
Rfam family: 5.8S ribosomal RNA (bases 1-120)
Source: RNAcentral
GAUGAAGAACGUAGCGAAAUGCGAUACGUAAUGUGAAUUGCAGAAUUCAGUGAAUCAUCGAAUCUUUGAACGCACAUUGCGCCUUCUGGUAUUCCGGGGGGCAUGCCUGUCCGAGCGUCAUUGCUGCCCUCAAGCACGGCUUGUGUGUUGGGCCUCCGUCCUCCUCCCGGGGGACGGGCCCGAAAGGCAGCGGCGGCACCGCGUCCGGUCCUCGAGCGUAUGGGGCUUCGUCACCCGCUCUUGUAGGCCCGGCCGGCGCUUGCCGACACAUCAAUCUUUUUUCCAGGUUGACCUCGGAUCAGGUAGGGAUACCCGCUGAACUUAAGCAUAUCAAUAAGCGGAGGA